GGACGUUCAAGGUGGGCGAUCCGUCGCCGGAAUAGUUAAGCACGGGAUAACGGAACAGGGCUUCGACUCGAGUUCGUUGUUUUCUCGGGUGGGAGUACAUGAUUGAUAGGGACGGUCGGGGCCGCUCGCAUCGCGUCGUCAGAGGUGAAAUUUUAGGAUUGACGCGAGACGAACAGGUGCGAAAGCGUUCGGCAAGGAUGUUUUCGUUAAUCAAGAACGAAAGUUGGGGGAUCGAAGAUGAUCAGAUACCGUUGUAGUUUUGACCGUAAACUAUGCCGACCAAGGGCCCGGAAACGUUAUUUUGUAGGACUUUGCGGGCACUUUUCGAGAAAUCGUGAGUAUUCGGGUUCCGGGGGGAGUACGGUCGCAAGGCCGAAACUUAAAGGAAUUGACGGAAGGGCACCACCAGGAGUGGAACCUGCGGCUUAAUUUGACUCAACGCGGGAAAACUCACCAGGUCCGGACACGGUAAGGAUUGACAGAUUGACGGAUCUUUCUUGAUUCCGUGGAAAGUGGUGCAUGGCCGUUUUUAGUUGGUGGAUCGGUCCGUCUGGUUUAUUCCGUUAACGAACGAGACCUCAACCUGUCAAGUAGCUUGGCGAACCAAUGGGUCAAAGCCUCGGGUUUCCCGAGGUUCCAUUGCGGUUCGUCAUUACCUAGCCCCCCCCCGCCCUCCGAGGCCUCGGCACUCCGAAUAGCACGGCGGACGCCGCGGCCUCCGGGCCGUCUUCCGCGCGAGCUUCUUAGAGGGACCGUCCCCCGCCGGGGAAGGAGGUUCGAGGCAACGACAGGUCUGUGAUGCCCUUAGAUGUUCUGGGCCGCACGCGCAUUACACUGACGCGUCCAACGGGCGACUCCCGGCCCGAAGGGGUCGGGGAAUCCGCAAGGCGCGUCGUGAUGGGGAUUGAACGUUGCAAUUGUUGUUCACGAACGAGGAAUUCCUAGUAGGCGCGGGUCAUCAACCCGCGCCGAUUACGUCCCUGCCCUUUGUACACACCGCCCGUCGCUCCUACCGAUCGAACGGUCCGGUGAGGACCCAGGACGGCGCGGGACCCGAGGGGCCGAAAGGCUCCGCGACCCGUGUCGGAAUCCGUCCGAACCUUACCGUUUAGAGGAAGGAGAAGUCGUAACAAGGUCUCCGUAGGUGA
RNAcentral lists this ribosomal RNA (1148 nucleotides) under Difflugia sp. RNAcentral describes it as "SSU rRNA". It matches the Rfam family "Eukaryotic small subunit ribosomal RNA", at positions 769 to 1812 of the family's 1831-position model. The record is from RNAcentral. Lineage: Eukaryota; Tubulinea; Elardia; Arcellinida; Difflugiidae.